Molecule: ribosomal RNA, 1805 nt
Filed under: Staphylococcus epidermidis
Lineage: Bacteria; Bacillati; Bacillota; Bacilli; Caryophanales; Staphylococcaceae
Description: bacterial LSU rRNA
Rfam family: Bacterial large subunit ribosomal RNA
Source: RNAcentral
UUAAAGAGUGCGUAAUAGCUCACUAGUCGAGUGACACUGCGCCGAAAAUGUACCGGGGCUAAACAUAUUACCGAAGCUGUGGAUUGUCCUUUGGACAAUGGUAGGAGAGCGUUCUAAGGGCGUCGAAGCAUGAUCGCAAGGACAUGUGGAGCGCUUAGAAGUGAGAAUGCCGGUGUGAGUAGCGAAAGACGGGUGAGAAUCCCGUCCACCGAUUGACUAAGGUUUCCAGAGGAAGGCUCGUCCGCUCUGGGUUAGUCGGGUCCUAAGCUGAGGCCGACAGGCGUAGGCGAUGGAUAACAGGUUGAUAUUCCUGUACCACCUAGUAUCGUUUUAAUCGAUGGGGGGACGCAGUAGGAUAGGCGAAGCGUGCUGUUGGAGUGCACGUCCAAGCAGUAAGGCUGAGUGUUAGGCAAAUCCGGCACUCAUAAGGCUGAGCUGUGAUGGGGAGAGGAAAUUGUUUCCUCGAGUCGUUGAUUUCACACUGCCGAGAAAAGCCUCUAGAUAGAUAACAGGUGCCCGUACCGCAAACCGACACAGGUAGUCAAGAUGAGAAUUCUAAGGUGAGCGAGCGAACUCUCGUUAAGGAACUCGGCAAAAUGACCCCGUAACUUCGGGAGAAGGGGUGCUCUUUAGGGUUCACGCCCAGAAGAGCCGCAGUGAAUAGGCCCAAGCGACUGUUUAUCAAAAACACAGGUCUCUGCUAAACCGUAAGGUGAUGUAUAGGGGCUGACGCCUGCCCGGUGCUGGAAGGUUAAGAGGAGUGGUUAGCUUCUGCGAAGCUACGAAUCGAAGCCCCAGUAAACGGCGGCCGUAACUAUAACGGUCCUAAGGUAGCGAAAUUCCUUGUCGGGUAAGUUCCGACCCGCACGAAAGGCGUAACGAUUUGGGCACUGUCUCAACGAGAGACUCGGUGAAAUCAUAGUACCUGUGAAGAUGCAGGUUACCCGCGACAGGACGGAAAGACCCCGUGGAGCUUUACUGUAGCCUGAUAUUGAAAUUCGGCACAGCUUGUACAGGAUAGGUAGGAGCCUUUGAAACGUGAGCGCUAGCUUACGUGGAGGCGUUGGUGGGAUACUACCCUAGCUGUGUUGGCUUUCUAACCCGCACCACUUAUCGUGGUGGGAGACAGUGUCAGGCGGGCAGUUUGACUGGGGCGGUCGCCUCCUAAAAGGUAACGGAGGCGCUCAAAGGUUCCCUCAGAAUGGUUGGAAAUCAUUCAUAGAGUGUAAAGGCAUAAGGGAGCUUGACUGCGAGACCUACAAGUCGAGCAGGGUCGAAAGACGGACUUAGUGAUCCGGUGGUUCCGCAUGGAAGGGCCAUCGCUCAACGGAUAAAAGCUACCCCGGGGAUAACAGGCUUAUCUCCCCCAAGAGUUCACAUCGACGGGGAGGUUUGGCACCUCGAUGUCGGCUCAUCGCAUCCUGGGGCUGUAGUCGGUCCCAAGGGUUGGGCUGUUCGCCCAUUAAAGCGGUACGCUAGCUGGGUUCAGAACGUCGUGAGACAGUUCGGUCCCUAUCCGUCGUGGGCGUAGGAAAUUUGAGAGGAGCUGUCCUUAGUACGAGAGGACCGGGAUGGACAUACCUCUGGUGUACCAGUUGUCGUGCCAACGGCAUAGCUGGGUAGCUAUGUAUGGACGGGAUAAGUGCUGAAAGCAUCUAAGCAUGAAGCCCCCCUCAAGAUGAGAUUUCCCAACUUCGGUUAUAAGAUCCCUCGAAGAUGACGAGGUUAAUAGGUUCGAGGUGGAAGCGUGGUGACACGUGGAGCUGACGAAUACUAAUCGAUCGAAGACUUAAUCAAUUUUUAAA